UAACAAGUUGUAAAAUGCAGCGUGUACACUCUAAAAGGUGCAUUGCUGUGCACAAAACAACAGAUUUUAAAACAGAAUGCAUCUGCAGUUGAAUUGUGUUUAUCAGAAGUGUAACCAGACUAGUAGAAGUCUACCAGGAACUAACAUCACCACUCUGUUCAUCUUGGGAGAGGAAAGUAGACAGGAGUGUAGUCAGGGGAUGCUGUAGAAACUAAAAUGGGAAAACUAUGAAGUUGAGUGAAGUUCAAUCUCGUGUUUCUCUUCAUAGGUGGAAAUGUCUUCUGUGUGGCAGCUGCACACCCACUUACACUCAUAGCUUAGAGGAACAUUGCUGGCCACCUGUUCACUCACAUAUCAGUAGAAUUCACAUGGGAUAGGGAGGUUAACUAUGGUGAUUCAGGGAAAUUCUAGCUGCAAUAUCCCAUCAAAUCAAAUGAAGAGAAUGUAUUGCUCACAUACACAUGUUUAGCAAAUGUUAUUGUGGGUGUAGUGAAAUGCUUGUGUUUCUAGCUCCAGCAGUGCAGUAAUAUCUAACAAUUCACAACAAUAUUCACAAUACACACACAUCUAAAAGUAAAAUAAUGUAAUUAAGGAAAAUAUAAAUAUUAGGAUGAGCAAUAUCAGAGUGGCAUUGACUAAAAUACAGUAGAAUAGAAUACAGUAUUUACAUAUGAGUAAGUAAGUAAAGCAGUAUGUAAACAUGAUUAAAGUGACUAGUGUUCCAUGUCUAUGUAAAUGGGGCAGCAGCCUCUAAGUGGCAGGGUUAUGUAACCGGGUGUAGGUCGGUUAGUGAUGGCUAUUUAACAGUCUGAUGGCCUUGAGAUAGAAGCUGUUUUUCAGUCUCUCGGUCCCAGCUUUGAUGCACCUGUACUGACCUCGCCUUCUGGAUGGUAGCGUUGUGAACAGGCAGUGGCUCUGGUGGUUGUUGUCCUUGAUGAUCUUUUUUGGCCUUCCUGUAACAUCGGGUGCUUCCGGUGUCCUGGAGGACAGGUAGUUUGUCCCCGGUGAUGCGUUGGGCAGCCUGGAUUAGUAUGCAUAAAUGCACCCUGGGUUUUGAAGGGGGUGGAGACCAAAAUAUUGAGGGGGUGGAGACCAGAGUAACCAGACUAGCAGAGAUGUACCAGCAACUAACAUCGUCACUCUGUUCAUCUGGAGAGAGGAAAGUAGACAGAAAAUCUGAUCACGAUGGAUUACAUCAAGCCAGCAUUUGACAUUCUGUUAGAACAAGUAAGAAAAUCAGGCAGUUUUUACAUGAUCUUCUUUGCUCUUUUUCUGUACCACAUUAUGUUUGAUGGCCACUUAAAAUGCUCUUGUGAAGAUGGUGUUAAAAAGUGGUUACCCUCAACACUGUAUCUACUACAUGGUGUUUACAGCUGUGAUCUUGAUUUUCUUGACUCUCUGGAUGGACAGAGAGUUUCAACGAGUCUUGAGAAUGACAUGCAGAUGCAGAUGUGAUUUGUGUGGAAGACUGUUGGGAUUAUUAAUUAAGGCAGUCUCUAAAGGGUUGCUGUGGGUUGUGAGUGUGCUUUUUGAUGGGGACUGGUACGUGUGCUAUCAAAGACCAACGUAUCACUGCAGAUACAACACUGAUAAGACACCAUUCAAAGAAGACCUAGAUAAGCAAACUGAUAUCAAAGUGUUCUCCAUGGCUUGCGGCUCUGGACUGGUUCUGUUUCUACUUGUUGGGAAUUCCAUUCUGACUGCAGUACCUUGGAGGGAUAUCUGUUGUAUCAUUUGUAGAUCUUGCAAGUGUGUCAGACCUUAUCACAGGGAACUAUUUGAGGAGAAUAUUUGGGAAGAGACAGAAAUUCUUAUUGAAAAAGACUUAAAGAGAACAGCUCAGGAGAGUGUAGUUCUUAAAAGCAGAGGACUACUACCACCCCUUCCGAAUGCAGCCCAAGGAACCAUACAGGGAGGCGGCGACACCACCCAUCCUAAGGUGGAAGACAGAGUGAUCACCCUUAACAACCUUCAUUUUGACAUUAUAUCUGAUCUAGAUAAUGUUAUAAUUGAUCAGAUCAAUACUAUGUACCAGAACCCUGACCCUAACCCUAACCCUAACCAGAACCGUAACCCUAUCAGGUUUUCAAAUCUAUGUUCUUGUUUCUCAGGAAACAUCAGACCACAAACAAAUGAAACAGAACUCAUUAACAGAACCUAGUAACAUAAUCCACCAAUGAUGUAGACAUUAAUACUAUCAUACUAUCAUACUAUCAUACUAUCUUAUGUGAACCGUUUGUGAAAACUAGCUUUCAAGCGACCCUGUGUAUAUAAGGCUUCUUCUGUCUCACAAUAAACUGUGUUUCUGGUUAAGGUGGCAGCAAUAGUUUGGUACAAUACAACUAGAAUGGGUUAUAUGAGGGGAGUGAACAACUGUGGGUGAUAAACCUCAACAACGACCCUGUAUAAGCUUUCAUAAUGUCACAGGGUGGAAAUGUAAGCCGGGUGGCAAACAUGAGUCUGUUAGACAACAGUGAUGGUUGACAGAGCUGUUCUAGGUCAUCUUUAUUUCUAGACUAUAAACAAUAUACCCUUCAUUAAUGAAUAUGUGUUAAUAUAACCAGUGAAUUAUUGUUUUUGUCCUUGAUGCUACAAUUCAUAUGUUGUUACUAUUGAUUGUGUUCUGUCUUUAUGUCUACCUUUAACAAAAAAUUAAGAAUAUAUAAUAAUACUAACCAUCUGUAUCUCCUCCUGUCUUCAAUGUACCACAGCUGUUCACUCUGCAAUACUACACUUGUUCACGCUGUUCAUUUUGAUACGUCUCUAAAAUAAAAAUAAUAGUUGUAA
Long non-coding RNA from Oncorhynchus keta (chum salmon), 2787 nucleotides. RefSeq lists it as uncharacterized. The record is from RefSeq and is a predicted model, not a curated record. NCBI's taxonomy places the organism in Eukaryota, Metazoa, Chordata, Actinopteri, Salmoniformes, Salmonidae. The transcript has 2 exons.